GUGCCAGCCGCCGCGGUAAGACGAACCGUGCGAACGUUGUUCGGAAUCACUGGGCUUAAAGGGCGCGUAGGCGGGCCAGCAAGUCCGGGGUGAAAUCUUUCGGCUCAACCGGAAAAGUGCCUUGGAUACUGCUGGUCUCGAGGGAGGCAGGGGUCUGUGGAACUUCUGGUGGAGCGGUGAAAUGCGUUGAUAUCAGAAGGAACGCCGGUGGCGAAAGCGACGGACUGGUCCUCUUCUGACGCUGAGGCGCGAAAGCUAGGGGAGCAAACGGGAUUAGAUACCCGCGUAGUCC
Molecule: ribosomal RNA, 292 nt
Filed under: uncultured bacterium
Lineage: Bacteria
Description: partial 16S ribosomal RNA
Rfam family: Bacterial small subunit ribosomal RNA
Source: RNAcentral